RNAcentral lists this transfer RNA (62 nucleotides) under Fukomys damarensis (Damara mole-rat). Lineage: Eukaryota; Metazoa; Chordata; Mammalia; Rodentia; Bathyergidae. The record is from Rfam by way of RNAcentral.
GUGUGGCUCAGCGGUGAGCACUUGCUUAGCAUGCAGGAGGCCCUAGGUUCCAUCCCCAGCAC